CGCGGGGUGGAGCAGUCUGGUAGCUCGUCGGGCUCAUAACCCGAAGGUCAUCGGUUCAAAUCCGGUCCCCGC
This 72-nucleotide transfer RNA is filed under the name Candidatus Electrothrix marina. Its description in RNAcentral is "tRNA-Met". It matches the Rfam family "tRNA". Rfam says of the family: Transfer RNA (tRNA) molecules are approximately 80 nucleotides in length. Lineage: Bacteria; Pseudomonadati; Thermodesulfobacteriota; Desulfobulbia; Desulfobulbales; Desulfobulbaceae. The record is from RNAcentral.